GGAACAGCCUUUCAGCUGAAAGACAAAUAGAAUCUGAGGAUCUAAUGUAUAACAUGCUAACUGUAGUUGAUAAUACUGCAUUGUUUCUAAGAGAAUAGAAGGUAUAUGCUCUCACACACAAAGGAAAUAUGUGAGGUGAUAGGUAUGUUAAUUACCUAGAUGAGGGAAGUCCUUUCAUGAUAUAUACAUGUAUCAAAUGACCACAAUGCACACUUAAAUAUUUCACAAUUUUAUUUGUCAGUUAUACCUCAGUAAAGCUGAAAAACAGUAGUCCUCAUUGAGCUGAAGUGGGAGCUUUAGAAAUGGGAACAUGUUCUAGGUCAAGGAUGUACCCCAGAUUCAUGUGCUGAAGGCCUGACUCUUAGUGUCUCAGAAUGUGACCUUAUUUGAAGAUGGGGUCGUUACAGUUAAAAUGAGGUCAUUAGAGUGAGUCCUAAUUCAAUGAGUAGUGUCUUUAUAAGAAGAGGAAGUUUGGAGGCAGGCACAGUGGGAGAAAGCUUUGUAGAGAUGAAGUCAGAGAUCCUACAAGCAGAGGAAUACCAGAAAUUGCAGCAAAGCACCAGAAGCCAGGUGGGUGCAUGGAACAUACUCUUUUCCACAGCCGUCAGAAAGAGUCAACCUUGCUGCCACCUUGAUCUUGAAUUUCUAGCCUUCAGAACUGUGAGACCGUAGAUAUCUGUCAUUUAAGCCACCCAGCCUGUGACUCUGUGACACAGCCCUAGGAAACCAGUACAGAAUGUGAUAAUACAGUCACCUGUUUCUAAGUCUAUCCCUUACAAAUAAGAAAGGGCGAAAAUAUAGCCCCUUCCCAUGUCUAUGUCCAUAUCUAUAUCUAUCAGCGUCUACUUCGUAUACCAAAGAGCUGUUGUUCAGUUGCUCAGGUGCGUCCACUCUUUGGGACCCCGUGGACUGCAGCACACCAGGUUUCCCUGUCCAUCUCCAACUCCUGGAGCUUGCUCAAACUCAUGUCCAUUGAGUUGAUGAUGCCAUCCAACCAUCUCAUCCUCUGUCAUCCCCUUCUCCUCCUGCCUUCAAUCUUUCCCAGCAUCAGGGUCUUUUCCAAUGAGUCAGCUCUUUGCAUCAGGUGGCCAGAAUAUUGGAUCUUCAGCUUCAGCAUCAUUCCAAUGAAUAUUCAGGGUUGUUUUCCUUUAGGAUUGACUGAUUUGACCUCCUUGUGCUGUCCAAGGGACUCUCAAGAAUCUUCUCCAACACCACAGUUCGAAAGCAUCAAUACCAAGGAGUAUGUGUAUAGAAAGCACAGGAAUACUGGGAAUGGUGAGAGUAUUCAUUUGAUUCACUGGACAAAUGUGAAGUUGGUGGUUUAAUCAGUGGAUUACUCUUUUUUGAGUGUAAUCAGGUUGACUCCCACUUGGCUGCCUUUCUUGUGUAAAUUGUCAUCUCUUGAAAACUUCAGGGGGCUUAUUUUGUGGAAAUCUCUGCAGGUACCCUGGCUGCUCCUUGCCAAUUGGGACGAAUCUCUUGACUUGAAAAACAGUGUGGUGGCUGACAUUUCCUGCUACUGAGGAAAACAAAGGUGUGACUGAGGUGCCAAUCUGCCUCAGUGGGCAUGCUGCUUCAGCAGGACAGGGUGAAGAGUGGCCCUGUGGAGAACUCUCCAGCUAACUAUCAUUAGGCAGCACGUCUGUCUAAUUGAGGAAGCAGGAUGGCCAAGCACUUUUAAUCAACUUGAAUAUUAGUUGGAAUGAAUUGGCAAUUUGGAAGCCAUUUAAGCUGAUCCUUAAUGAUGUCUGUCCACUUGCUGUGAAUUCUUCACUUUCACCAGUGCCAGUCUUGUCUGUCUUGGAUGCCCUUUAUGUCAGAGGCCAACAGAAUCUUUCUGUAAAGGAACAAAGAGUAAAUAUUUUGGACUUCGUACGUCAUGCAGCCUUUCUGAGUCAUAGACAAUAUGUAAGUGAGUGGCAUUCUUAUACCCCAUAAAUCACCCUUUAUGUGAUGGGCCAGGUUUGCCCCGUGGGCCAUAGUUUGCCAUCCCUACUAUAUGCUGUUUUGCCCAUUUUACAGAUGAAGGAACAGAGGCUUAGGGGGUUUAAGUGAUGGAUAAGAAUUGCACAACUCUUCAGGUGUAGAACUGGGAUUCUAACCCAAGGAGUCUGACUCCAUCCCAUAAUUUUAUCUCCUAAGAACUACUAUGUUAUCCUGCUUUGGGAAAUGACAAAGAAUGGAAUUUUAGUUUCUGCAUGUGGUGACUUAUAGAUUAUCACCCAAACUUCUGAGAGAAACCUUCAUUUCCCUUAAAAAACUUGUAUAGGGAAAAGUGUCAUUUCAUAUCCUGAAGAUGUUAUUUAGGUAAAGUAGAAAGUCUGACCAAGUUAGUCACUCAGUCGUGUCCGACUCUCUGCAACCCCACGGACUGUAGCCUGUCAGGCUCUUCUGUCCAUGGGAUUUUCCAGGCAAGAAUAUUGAUGUGGGUAGCCAUUCCCUUCUCCAGGAGAUCUUCCUGACCAAGGGAUCGAACCUGGGUCUCCUACAUUGCAGGCAGACUACCGUCUGAGCCACCAGAUAGUCUAAUCCAUAGCAUAUUCAAAUCAUGGGACUGUGCCCUCAGAUAAUUGAAUAAAGCUUUUCCGAUUCUCCAUAUGACUUGAUGUUGUGAUCAUUUUCAUCAAUAGAUUUGUGGAAGGCAAAUUACCCUA
Long non-coding RNA from Bos taurus (domestic cattle), 2654 nucleotides. Lineage: Eukaryota; Metazoa; Chordata; Mammalia; Artiodactyla; Bovidae. The record is from Ensembl.